GGUCUUACAAAAUGUCUCUUAUCUUUGAGGCACACUUGCACAUAGCUAAUUUCUUUCAGGGAUUGUGAUUCCAGAUGGUGGAGCUCAAAUGUUAACAGUUUUUUCUCUAUAUGGAAUUAAUGGUGGCCUUGGAAUUAAUGUAACCUUGGAUUUUUUUACCUAUACAAUAAAUAAAACUUCAAUUGUCAUAUAUAUAAAAAUAUAUGUAUAGGACUGUAAAAAUCAAUAGAUAAGUUAUUAAGACUUUCUUGAGACGGGGGUACAUUAUUUGCAGCUGGGGUUG
RNAcentral lists this long non-coding RNA (283 nucleotides) under Panax ginseng (ginseng). RNAcentral describes it as "long non-coding RNA (PGIN_LNC018997)". The record is from RNAcentral. Lineage: Eukaryota; Viridiplantae; Streptophyta; Magnoliopsida; Apiales; Araliaceae.